UACAAUUUUGAAUGAAGGAAAAACAUGGAAAACAUAUGUCCUUCACAAAAAAUUAUGGAACAAUCACAGAAGUCUCUGUCGCACUAGUGUAACCUCCUGUAAAAAUAUCAGAGCCAAAAUGCUGCUGGAACUUGAGUUAAAAAUAGAUCCCUAUAAUCUGCCAUAGGGUACUGUUUUAAUUUUAGUUAAUUUUGUAGAUGUUCAAUGCAUCCCAAAAUUUUACAGUAGCUCACUGUUGUGAUUAGGAAGCCUCUGUAAAAUUUUCAUAACCAUACCUUACCGGAAGCUACUAGAAACAUUUAUGAAAGUUAAACCCAAAAAUAAAAUGAAUAAAAACCGUUAGGUAAUAGUAAGGGUAAAAUGGUAAUUUUGGAAGAGGUACAGAAAAAUAUUAAGAAAAAGGAUAACUUUUGAAAUGAACCUUGAGCAACCCUAAAGUGACCCUCCCCA
Molecule: long non-coding RNA, 450 nt
Filed under: Setaria viridis
Lineage: Eukaryota; Viridiplantae; Streptophyta; Magnoliopsida; Poales; Poaceae
Description: long non-coding RNA (SVIR_LNC004644)
Source: RNAcentral